UUCUAGCUCCUUUGUCUGGCGACCUUGAA
This 29-nucleotide non-coding RNA is filed under the name Rattus norvegicus (Norway rat). The record is from RNAcentral. Lineage: Eukaryota; Metazoa; Chordata; Mammalia; Rodentia; Muridae.